CCUACGGGAGGCAGCAGUGGGGAAUCUUGCACAAUGGGGGAAAGCCUGAUGCAGCAACGCCGCGUGAGUGAUGAAGGCCUUCGGGUCGUAAAGCUCUGUCGUCAGGGACGAAAAUGAGGGUAAGUGAGUGUGAAGCCACCGCCAACUACGAGCCAGCAGCCGCGGUAAAACGUAGGGGGCGAGCGUGUUGCGGAUUGAAUGGGGGUAAAGGGAGCGGGGGCGGACUUUUAAGUGGGAUGUGAAAUCCUCGGGCUCAACUUGAGUGGUGCAUUUCAAACUGGAAGUCUAGAGUGCAGGAGAGGAGAAUGGAAUUCCUAGUGUAGCGGUGAAAUGCGUAGAGAUUAGGAAGAACACCAGUGGCGAAAGCGAUUCUCUGGACUGUAACUGACGCUGAGGCUCGAAAGCGUGGGGAGCAAACAGGAUUAGAUACCCCGGUAGUC
This 440-nucleotide ribosomal RNA is filed under the name uncultured bacterium. RNAcentral's name for it is "partial 16S ribosomal RNA". It matches the Rfam family "Bacterial small subunit ribosomal RNA", at positions 338 to 795 of the family's 1533-position model. The record is from RNAcentral.